Molecule: ribosomal RNA, 429 nt
Filed under: Streptomyces phaeochromogenes
Lineage: Bacteria; Bacillati; Actinomycetota; Actinomycetes; Kitasatosporales; Streptomycetaceae
Description: bacterial SSU rRNA
Rfam family: Bacterial small subunit ribosomal RNA
Source: RNAcentral
GAGUUUGAUCAUGGCUCAGGACGAACGCUGGCGGCGUGCUUAACACAUGCAAGUCGAACGAUGAAGCCCUUCGGGGUGGAUUAGUGGCGAACGGGUGAGUAACACGUGGGCAAUCUGCCCUUCACUCUGGGACAAGCCCUGGAAACGGGGUCUAAUACCGGAUAACACUCGCCGAGGCAUGGGGGGGGGUUGAAAGCUCCGGCGGUGAAGGAUGAGCCCGCGGCCUAUCAGCUUGUUGGUGAGGUAGAAGCUCACCAAGGCGACGACGGGUAGCCGGCCUGAGAGGGCGACCGGCCACACUGGGACUGAGACACGGCCCAGACUCCUACGGGAGGCAGCAGUGGGGAAUAUUGCACAAUGGGCGAAAGCCUGAUGCAGCGACGCCGCGUGAGGGAUGACGGCCUUCGGGUUGUAAACCUCUUUCAGCAG